Molecule: small nucleolar RNA, 124 nt
Filed under: Peromyscus maniculatus bairdii (prairie deer mouse)
Lineage: Eukaryota; Metazoa; Chordata; Mammalia; Rodentia; Cricetidae
Description: Small nucleolar RNA SNORA70 (ENSPEMG00000003544.2)
Rfam family: Small nucleolar RNA SNORA70
About the family: snoRNA U70 seems to be exclusive to mammals and is a member of the H/ACA class of snoRNA which contain H (ANANNA) and ACA box motifs. H/ACA box snoRNAs are involved in the conversion of uridines to pseudouridines (5-ribosyluracil) a constituent of structural RNAs (transfer, ribosomal, small nuclear, and small nucleolar).
Source: Rfam by way of RNAcentral
CACCAAUUAAGCCAACCAGGCGUCUUUCUCCGUUGAAGCCUUGUGUGGCUGUGAACAGCAGCCUCCUUGGAAGUGUGUACCCCAUUGCCUACAUGGAUUGUCCUAAGGGAUCUUGGGGACAGUU